RNAcentral lists this ribosomal RNA (254 nucleotides) under uncultured bacterium. RNAcentral describes it as "partial 16S ribosomal RNA". It matches the Rfam family "Bacterial small subunit ribosomal RNA", at positions 524 to 776 of the family's 1533-position model. The record is from RNAcentral.
UACGGGGGGAGCAAGCGUUGUUCGGAUUUACUGGGCGUAAAGGGCGCGUAGGCGGUCAGCACAAGUCAGUUGUGAAAUCUCCGGGCUUAACUCGGAAAGGUCAACUGAUACUGUGCGACUAGAGUGCGGAAGGGGCAACUGGAAUUCUCGGUGUAGCGGUGAAAUGCGUAGAUAUCGAGAGGAACACCUGCGGCGAAGGCGACUACCUGGCCUGUUCUUGACGCUGAGGCGCGAAAGCUAGGGGAGCAAACGGG